GAAGGAUGUGUUUGCUUCUCCUUCACCAUGACUGUAAGUUUCCUGAGGCCUCCCCAGCCAUGCUCAACUGCUGUUCCGACUCAUGAUCAAGCCUGAGACAGAGUGAUGGGCGUGGCUUCCCAAAAGGUAAGUAUCAAUCAAAAAUGUGAGGGAGAAAGUAAAAUGAAGUCACAAUCUAGUCAUCGCCUCCACACCAGUCACGCCUUCUCCCACCUAGACAAUAUCAUCUCCACUCCCAAGCCUGAAAUGCUCCCCCCCAUGCCUUUGAGGUUAAGGUCUGGGAAGAAAACUCUAAGAAGAGAGAAAAGGGCACCAAUAUGGAGACCUUAGAAUAUAAAAAGCAGACUUAAUCUGUCUAACUUGUUUCUUGACUUGGCCAUGAUCCCAGGAAUGGAGGAAGGAUCUUCCUUUUCCUCCUCCUCGAGAGGCAUCAGAGCAUGGGCUUUGGCUCUGUUACUUCCUGGCGGGGAAAUUACUUACCUACUCUGUCUCAGUUUAACUUAUGUCUUAAAGGGGUAGAGUAACAGUAUCCACUGGAGUAGAUACGUUGUUAUGCCUCCCAGCCUCUCCUUCGGGACCUGGUUACUUAAUUCCCUGGCUGCAAGGAGUGUUAGCUGCGGACUGCUCACAGCUGAGUCUCUCAGAGGAAUUGCCCUCAACCGAAGGAAGUUGUAUUACCCAAGAUGAGGUCUCCUCGCUGGGGCAGCCUGCAUCCAAAGACGACUCAGUGGGGUGUACGAAGGCCUGGCCUCCUCACCUUGAUUGGACAACUCCAAAGGGCCAGCCCAGUUUCUGAUCUCCCCAUAGAAUCUCCCGAAGCCUCCAGUGUGACUGCAUCAGAGCCUGACUUCUCAUUCCACCCAAUCCAGUCGCCUUUCCUUCUCACAGGUGUUGUUCCUAAAACUCAAUAAACUGCCUACAUGCAAA
Saimiri boliviensis boliviensis (Bolivian squirrel monkey) is the source of this 927-nucleotide long non-coding RNA. RefSeq lists it as uncharacterized. The record is from RefSeq and is a predicted model, not a curated record. Lineage: Eukaryota; Metazoa; Chordata; Mammalia; Primates; Cebidae.